AUGCUACAUUUGCUUAAUAUUGUAUUUUCAGCAGGCAUUCUCAUUAAUAUGCCAACUCAGAGACUUGAUCCGGAGAAUUGCUCUGGGUGCAAGCAAGCCCACGCGAUUUUUGCCCCUGAUAACCUGGGAGAUUUGCAAACAGGAGGCUGUUUUCCAGUGAGAUGGGUGUCACCAUCAGGAGAAAUGCUCCUGCCAGUGAAGAACUCAACAGACUGCAGAGCUGUCAUCGUCAGAGCUUGUCACCCCUCCUCUGUUGGCCAUGAGACACGUCUGCACAGAGCCCCACCACAGGCUGAGGCAAAAUGCAGUGCUACUGCCAGCAGCAGGAGACCUUGCUUGCUCAGUGCUCUUUAUCUGCUCAGUCUUGAGAAGAGAAAUCGUGCCACGGUCUUCUCUAGUCAACCUCCAGGCUGGCUGGUAUGUGGUCCCAAGCUAAAGAGGCCCUUGAGCUCUCUUCUAAGUAUGAAAGAUGAAAAUUCGAAGACGUUGUAUGACUAA
RNAcentral lists this long non-coding RNA (498 nucleotides) under Anser cygnoides (Swan goose). RNAcentral describes it as "lncRNA (ENSACDG00005013255.1)". The record is from RNAcentral. Lineage: Eukaryota; Metazoa; Chordata; Aves; Anseriformes; Anatidae.